AGAGUUUGAUCCUGGCUCAGGAUGAACGCUGGCGGAAUGCUUAACACAUGCAAGUCUACUUGAAAGUACCUUCGGGUACAAUUAGAGUGGCGGACGGGUGAGUAACGCGUGAACAACCUGCCCAAUAGACUGGGAUAACUUCUCGAAAGGGGAGCUAAAACCGGAUAUUAUAUAUUUAUCGCCUGUUAAAUAUAUGAAACACUAUAUGUGCUAUUGGAGGGGUUCGCGUCCCAUUAGCUAGUUGGUAGGGUAAUGGCCUACCAAGGCGACGAUGGGUAGCCGGCCUGAGAGGGUGAUCGGCCACAAGGGAACUGAGACACGGUCCUUACUCCUACGGGAGGCAGCAGUGGGGAAUAUUGCGCAAUGGAGGCAACUCUGACGCAGCAAUUCCGCGUGGAUGAUGAAGGUUUUCGGAUUGUAAAGUCCUUUCAGCAGGGAAGAAUUCUUGACGGUACCUGCAGAAGAAGCCACGGCUAAUUACGUGUCAGCAGCCGCGGUAAGACGUAAGUGGCAAGCGUUAUCCGGAUUUACUGGGCGUAAAGGGCGUGUAGGCGGCCAUAUAAGUCAGAAGUGAAAAGUCUGGGCUCAACCGAGGCCUUGCUUUUGAAACUAUAUGGCUAGAGUACAGGAGAGGAGGGCGGAACUACCAGUGUAGCGGUGAAAUGCGUAGAUAUUGGUAGGAAUGCCGAUGACGAAGGUAGCUCUCUGGACUGAUACUGACGCUGAGGCGCGAAAGCUAGGGGAGCGAACAGGAUUAGAUACCCUGGUAGUCCUAGCUGUAAACGAUGGAUACUAGGUGUGGGCAAUAGUAUUGUCUGUGCCGGAGCAAACGCGAUAAGUAUCCCGCCUGGGGAGUACGGUCGCAAGACUAAAACUCAAAGGAAUUGACGGGGACCCGCACAAGCGGUGGAGCAUGUGGUUUAAUUCGACGUAACGCGAGGAACCUUACCAGGUCUUGACAUCGCUUGAAUUUCUUAGAGAUAGGAAAGUGCCCUUCGGGGAGCAAGUGGACAGGUGGUGCAUGGCUGUCGUCAGCUCGUUCCGUGAGGUGUUGGGUUAAGUCCCGCAACGAGCGCAACCCCUAUUGCUAGUUACCAUCAUUAAGUUGGGGACUCUAGUGAGACUGCCUGCGACGAGCAGGAGGAAGGUGGGGAUGACGUCAAGUCAUCAUGCCCCUUAUGACCUGGGCUACACACGUGCUACAAUGGGUAGUACAAAGAGAAGCGAAACAGUGAUGUGGAGCGAAUCUCAUAAAUCUACUCUUAGUUCGGAUUGCAGUCUGCAACUCGACUACAUGAAGUUGGAAUCGCUAGUAAUCGCAAAUCAGCAAUGUUGCGGUGAAUACGUUCUCGGGUCUUGUACACACCGCCCGUCACACCACGAGAGUUUAUUGCACCUGAAGUAACUGGCCUAACCCGUAAGGGGAGGAGGUUCCUAAGGUGUGGUAGGCGAUUGGGGUGAAGUCGUAACAAGGUA
RNAcentral lists this ribosomal RNA (1476 nucleotides) under metagenome. RNAcentral's name for it is "bacterial SSU rRNA". It matches the Rfam family "Bacterial small subunit ribosomal RNA". The record is from RNAcentral.